CUGCGGUGAAGACGGUGGUCUCAGAUCCCUCUGGUGAAGGGUUGAUGAUGGACAGACUCCUGGAUUUGCGAGCUGCUGACUCCUUCUCCAUCACUCGGAUCCGGGUGUCCUGCAAAAACAGAUAUUACAUUUCUGUGGCUUUGCUUCUUACCGUCUUGGAGGACAAUGAGGGAGUGAGACUGGAAGCUGCCUUCAGCCUCGGGCAGACGCAGAGUGGUGUAGGCCAGCAGGCUGUAUUUGGCUCCGCUGGUUCAGAACGCUGGCAGCAGGCCUCUUACCCUCUGACUGCUCCCAUCAUGUCCUGCUCCUCUUUCUUCCUCUGCAGCUGUGUGAGAUAAGCCUUGAUCCUG
Acanthochromis polyacanthus (spiny chromis) is the source of this 350-nucleotide long non-coding RNA. RefSeq lists it as uncharacterized. The record is from RefSeq and is a predicted model, not a curated record. The transcript has 3 exons. Lineage: Eukaryota; Metazoa; Chordata; Actinopteri; Pomacentridae.